Molecule: ribosomal RNA, 253 nt
Filed under: uncultured bacterium
Lineage: Bacteria
Description: partial 16S ribosomal RNA
Rfam family: Bacterial small subunit ribosomal RNA
Source: RNAcentral
UACGAAGGGGGCUAGCGUUGCUCGGAAUCACUGGGCGUAAAGCGCACGUAGGCGGCUUUCUAAGUCAGGGGUGAAAUCCUGGAGCUCAACUCCAGAACUGCCUUUGAUACUGGAGAGCUUGAGUCCGGAAGAGGUGAGUGGAACUCCGAGUGUAGAGGUGAAAUUCGUAGAUAUUGGGAGGAACACCAGUGGCGAAGGCGGCUCACUGGACCGGAACUGACGCUGAGGCGCGAAAGCGUGGGGAGCAAACAGG